GUGCCAGCAGCCGCGGUAAUACGUAGGGUGCGAGCGUUGUCCGGAAUUAUUGGGCGUAAAGAGCUCGUAGGCGGUUUGUCGCGUCGACUGUGAAAACCUACAGCUUAACUGUGGGCUUGCGGUCGAUACGGGCAGACUUGAGUUCGGCAGGGGAGACUGGAAUUCCUGGUGUAGCGGUGAAAUGCGCAGAUAUCAGGAGGAACACCGGUGGCGAAGGCGGGUCUCUGGGCCGAUACUGACGCUGAGGAGCGAAAGCGUGGGGAGCGAACAGGAUUAGAUACCCUGGUAGUCC
RNAcentral lists this ribosomal RNA (292 nucleotides) under uncultured microorganism. Its description in RNAcentral is "partial 16S ribosomal RNA". It matches the Rfam family "Bacterial small subunit ribosomal RNA", at positions 505 to 796 of the family's 1533-position model. The record is from RNAcentral.